Molecule: ribosomal RNA, 153 nt
Filed under: uncultured fungus
Lineage: Eukaryota; Fungi
Description: 18S ribosomal RNA
Source: RNAcentral
GUGCUGCAACAUUUUGCUGCCGGUCACGGUUCGAACGUACGGACGUCCAGCUGCUAAGCAUCCACUUGGACGCCUUCCUAGUAAUGACUUUACAUUGUUGAAGAUAACUUUCCAAGGUCUCAUCCGCGAUGUUGCGGCUUUACUGGAAGAGUG